GAUGAACGCUGGCGGCGUGCCUAAUACAUGCAAGUCGAGCGAAUGGAUUAAGAGCUUGCUCUUAUGAAGUUAGCGGCGGACGGGUGAGUAACACGUGAGUAACCUGCCCAUAAGACUGGGAUAACUCCGGGAAACCGGGGCUAAUACCGGAUAACAUUUUGAACCGCAUGGUUCGAAAUUGAAAGGCGGCUUCGGCUGUCACUUAUGGAUGGACCCGCGUCGCAUUAGCUAGGUGGUGAGGUAACGGCUCACCAAGGCAACGAUGCGUAGCCGACCUGAGAGGGUGAUCGGCCACACUGGGACUGAGGCACGGCCCAGACUCCUACGGGAGGCAGCAGUAGGGAAUCUUCCGCAAUGGACGAAAGUCUGACGGAGCAACGCCGCGUGAGUGAUGAAGGCUUUCGGGUCGUAAAACUCUGUUGUUAGGGAAGAACAAGUGCUAGUUGAAUAAGCUGGCACCUUGACGGUACCUAACCAGAAAGCCACGGCUAACUACGUGCCAGCAGCCGCGGUAA
This 515-nucleotide ribosomal RNA is filed under the name uncultured bacterium. Its description in RNAcentral is "partial 16S ribosomal RNA". It matches the Rfam family "Bacterial small subunit ribosomal RNA", at positions 28 to 523 of the family's 1533-position model. The record is from RNAcentral.